Molecule: long non-coding RNA, 431 nt
Filed under: Phascolarctos cinereus (koala)
Lineage: Eukaryota; Metazoa; Chordata; Mammalia; Diprotodontia; Phascolarctidae
Description: lncRNA (ENSPCIG00000034399.1)
Source: RNAcentral
CCUGAUUGGGCUGUGUGCCUUUUAGCGACUCCCAGAGCCCCCAAGUCUGUGCAUUGAGCCAGGCUCACAGGAUUGCCGCCGUCUCUCCGCAGGAACCAGCAAAUCUGAUCAAGUUCAGAGGCGCAUUGAGAGACGCUUCAAGCAGCGCUUUAUAACCUCGGCUCUUUCACACCCUGCCUCCCAAUCAGCCCCGAGAAAGACUGCACAUUCUUUAUUUUAGAGUUUGCAAAGAGGGGGAAGAGAGGAAAAAACCCCCACCGGUAUAAAGUCUUCCCCACCAGUAACCCCAUCUCCCAUCAAACCAAUCACAAUUCACCCUCCGCAUCUCUACAGAACACUCACAAAGUUGAAGUGUCCUCUCUCCACCUCCACUUCUAUCCCCAGCUCCAGCUGCCGAGUUUGAGGAAGGGGAGGGGGCACAUCCUUCAAGC